ACAGGCACUGAUUUCUCUCUCAGUCUUGAUGACAUCCUGCUGGCCAUAUCUGCAGCUGUUAACAAAGAGGAAGAAUGUACAAUCACUGUGUCGAGAUCCCAUGUGGUGGAGCAGGGCCUUGCUCAGUGGAAGCGACAAAAGAAGGCAUUGCCUACCAAUCAGUUAAAAGUACAGUUCAUAGGGGAGGCAGGCGUCGAUACAGGGGCAUUAAGAAAUGGUUGCAGGCAUAGAGCAGUGUCUGUUUGAGGGUGACCAGACUGGAAAAUGUCCUAAAUAUUCCAUGUUGGAUCUGGACCAAGCAAUUUCAGGAGUGCUGGUGAAAUUUGGGCUGCAUGUCUGGCUCAUGGUGGACCACCACCCAGCUGCCUCAAACUUUGGUGCUACAAGUACCUGUGUGAUGGGGAUAUGCAGAUACAGAACAUUACCAAAGAGGAUGUCUGUGAUGCUCAGUAUACAUCCCUUAU
Molecule: long non-coding RNA, 464 nt
Organism: Dicentrarchus labrax (European seabass)
Lineage: Eukaryota; Metazoa; Chordata; Actinopteri; Moronidae
Exons: 3
Source: RefSeq, a predicted model, not a curated record